GCUCCCGUAGCUCAGUGGAUAGAGCAGUGGCUUCCUAAGCCAUUGGUCGGCCGUUCGAAUCGGCCCGGGAGUG
This 73-nucleotide transfer RNA is filed under the name Myxococcales bacterium. RNAcentral's name for it is "tRNA-Arg". It matches the Rfam family "tRNA". From Rfam's summary of the family: Transfer RNA (tRNA) molecules are approximately 80 nucleotides in length. Their secondary structure includes four short double-helical elements and three loops (D, anti-codon, and T loops). Lineage: Bacteria; Pseudomonadati; Myxococcota; Myxococcia; Myxococcales. The record is from RNAcentral.